GGAGGGGCGGCAGGGUAGACUAGUGGUUAGAGUGGAGGGGCGGCAGGGUAGACUAGUGGUUAGAGUGGAGGGGCGGCAGGGUAGCCUAGUGGUUAGAGUGGAGGGGCGGCAGGGUAGCCUAGUGGUUAGAGUGGAGGGGCGGCAGGGUAGCCUAGUGGUUAGAGUGGAGGGGCGGCAGGUAGCCUAGUGGUUAGAGUGGAGGGGUGGCAGGGUAGACUAGUGGUUAGAGUGGAGGGGCGGCAGGGUAGCCUAGUGGUUAGAGUGGAGGGGUGGCAGGGUAGCCUAGUGGUUAGAGGGGAGGGGUGGCAGGGUAGCCUAGUGGUUAGAGGGGAGGGGCGGCAGGCUAGCCUAGUGGUUAGAGGGGAGGGGCGGCAGGGUAGCCUAGUGGUUAGAGGGGAGGGGCGGUAGCUAGCCUAGUGGUUAGAGGGGAGGGGCGGCAGGGUAGCCUAGUGGUUAGAGUGGAGGGGUGGCAGGGUAGCCUAGUGGUUAGAGUGGAGGGGCGGCAGGGUAGCCUAGUGGUUAGAGUGGAGGGGUGGCAGGGUAGCCUAGUGGUUAGAGUGAAGGGGCGGCAGGGUAGCCUAGUGGUUAGAGUGGAGGGGCGGCAGGGUAGUCUAGUGGUUAGAGUGGAGGGGCGGCAGGGUAGCCUAGUGGUUAGAGUGUUGGACUAGUGACCGGAAGGUUGCAAGUUCAAACCCCCGAGCUGACAAGGUACAAAUCUGUCGUUCUGCCCCUGAACAGGCAGUUAACCCACUGUUCCCAGGCCGUCAUUGAAAAUAAGAAUUUGUUCUUAACUGACUUGCCUCGUUAAAUAAAGGUUAAAUAAAAAUAA
Molecule: long non-coding RNA, 829 nt
Organism: Oncorhynchus tshawytscha (Chinook salmon)
Lineage: Eukaryota; Metazoa; Chordata; Actinopteri; Salmoniformes; Salmonidae
Source: Ensembl